Long non-coding RNA from Oncorhynchus kisutch (coho salmon), 361 nucleotides. RefSeq lists it as uncharacterized. The transcript is spliced from 2 exons. NCBI's taxonomy places the organism in Eukaryota, Metazoa, Chordata, Actinopteri, Salmoniformes, Salmonidae. The record is from RefSeq and is a predicted model, not a curated record.
CAGAUAGUAUGAUACACAUGUACACCUGCUCCCUCUAUGGACAUAAGAGAUCAGAACAUGACCUAUGGUCUAUAUAUGCAAACUGCAAAGUGGCUGCAGCAUGGGAAGUGAUGCAGUCCAGAGGCCUGGCAGGUUACUGUUUGCUGGGCUAUGUGUGAGAUGGUUUAGGUUGUAGGACAAUGGAAGUUAAUAGACCAUGGACAACCUGCCUCCUGGGCUUGUGUAUUUUCCUUUGUUAUGUUUUUGUGUUUUAAUCCUGCAUAGUUUUUAAAGCAAUUUAUUGAUACAAUGUAAUGGAGCAGCAGAAGAUUCUUAAGUUAUGGAAAGAACCAUGCCCUAAAAUAAAUGUUUUUGAAACUGA